AAAUAUUUUAUUAAUAUUCAGAAAAGAAAAAGGACAGCAGCUCACACAAUUCUGUAAACAGUUUAUACAAUCCAAUUGAACAAGUUUGAGACUUUUGACACUCUAUAUAUUUAUCAAAAAAUAAUUAAAAUUUAAAAUUUUUAACCAAACAAAGGGCAGCAAUUAACAUUAUGACACAAGUGAUUGUUGUUAAUGUGUGUGGGAGCGUGUGUGUGUAUGGGGAAGGGUGGGGUGUGUGCGUGAUUAAAGGUGUGUGUUUCAAAUCUUUGUGUUCUCCUUUGCCACCCACUGUGGAGGCCACGUCUUCCCACUGCAAUAAGUGUAAAGAAGAUACAAUGACGUUGUGACAGUAAAGCACAAUAAGCCACAGUGGGCUUCAGUUCGUACCUCAUACUCAGUAUGUUAACAUGUUCACAGUUAUAUGAUUGCUGGAAAUUACCUUCAUAUUGUGACAUAAACUUACAGAAUGGAGACAGAGGAAUUUAUAUGUACUCGGUUUAUGCUUGUAAUUUAAAAUAAGCAAAUACAAAUAAAAUGCACAAAAGCAUUUAAGAAUAAAUACCGUACAAUUUCCAUUACCUUAAUAAAAAACGUUGACCAUUUCUUUAUAAAAUAAAAAAAGAGAAAUUAUAUGCACCACAAGGAAGAGGGCUCCCACUCCACCAACUCCAUUUGGUUCCCCUGAGAAAUAUUUAAAAAAUGCUUACUACCAUAAGCAAUCACACUGUCAGUGUCACAGUCUGUUGUUUCAACCUGCCUGUUACUAACGUUCUCUUACCCUAAGAGGCGCUGGAGCUGCAGACUGGAGUGUUGACAGGUGUACGUCGUUGCGUCAUCAGCUGGAGGACUAUAUGAGGGUGGUUCGCUGGCUUUUCUACGCCUGAGUGUUUUGCCUACAGUAGUAGUGUUAUCUGGCCACCACCUUCUGAAUUCUGGAAGCUCCACUUGUUUUUUGAGCCUUCACUAAUUAUCCGUCUUUCCCUUCGUCAAAGGCUGUUCACGCCAAGCUGGGUUUUCCUCCUGAAACCCACCUCCUGUGAAGAUUGGAAUCUGCUGCUGCCCUUGCGAGUCCUCCAGCUGGAAGCGCAACCUGUCCACCCACUUUGUUACCUGGAACAUCAGAUCGCUCUAACCGUUUCCGUGCAGACUCUUACCACAGACUUGAACCGGCUUCUCCCCCUGGCGGAUCAAUCGCCUUCUGAAAAACCUGUCUCCUGAUCACUCUGCUCACCUCGUUCCUGAGUCGAAAAGAAAUAAAAGAAAAAGAAAACUUAAUUUACUCUUCCCUGUCUGAGUGUCCUCUGCAUGUGGGUCAAGUCGGCCUUAAAAACUAUGACAGUCAGAUGACUUAAGGGCAUUAAAAACCACUAAAUACAGUCAUAUAAUAUGUAUAUAUUCACAUUACAUUUUUACUUCAAUAAUAAUAAAAAAGAACCUUCUUCAUUUUGGUCUUUAAAACACGCUUCACCGGGUAAUACUCGCCUUGUCCCCCGACCAUAUGGCUGCAUUCUGAAAGAACAAAAAGUGUACAUAUACAUUUUUUAUAAACUUUUAUAUAACUGCAAGGAAUGUACAGAAAGAAAAUUAUCAUUCAAGACAGUUUUUGCUCACAACUGUGCAACAUAGAGAAAUUAAUGCACAUUUUAUCAUAAGCAAGUUGGAUUAUUGUUAUGUUCUACUUCUGGUCUACUUAGGUUUAUUAUAAAUGCAAAAAUACUGGUGCCAACGUAGACUACAAGACUAGAAAAGAACACAUUAAAUAUAUGAACAAUCUUUAAAUUGGCUGCCUGUGAUUUAUGUAAUUGAUUUUUCGAAUUGU
This is a long non-coding RNA of Girardinichthys multiradiatus, 1819 nucleotides long. RefSeq lists it as uncharacterized. The record is from RefSeq and is a predicted model, not a curated record. The transcript has 2 exons. NCBI's taxonomy places the organism in Eukaryota, Metazoa, Chordata, Actinopteri, Cyprinodontiformes, Goodeidae.